Molecule: ribosomal RNA, 468 nt
Filed under: uncultured bacterium
Lineage: Bacteria
Description: partial 16S ribosomal RNA
Rfam family: Bacterial small subunit ribosomal RNA
Source: RNAcentral
GACGAACGCUGGCGGCGUGCUUAACACAUGCAAGUCGAACGGAAAGGCCCUGCUUUUGUGGGGUGCUCGAGUGGCGAACGGGUGAGUAACACGUGAGUAACCUGCCAUUGACUUUGGGAUAACUUCAGGAAACUGGGGCUAAUACCGGAUAGGAGCUCCUGCUGCAUGGUGGGGGUUGGAAAGUUUCGGCGGUUGGGGAUGGACUCGCGGCUUAUCAGCUUGUUGGUGGGGUAGUGGCUUACCAAGGCUUUGCCGGGUAGCCGGCCUGAGAGGGUGACCGGCCACAUUGGGACUGAGCUACGGCCCAGACUCCUACGGGGGGCAGCAGUGGAGAAUUUUGCACAAUGGGCGGAAGCCUGAUGCAGCAACGCCGCGUGCGGGAUGACGGCCUUCGGUUUUUAAACCGCUUUCGCCUGUGACGAAGCGUGAGUGACGGUAAUGGGUAAAGAAGCACCGGCUGACUACGUG